AACGCUGGCGGCGUGCCUAAUACAUGCAAGUCGAGCGAACGGACGAGAAGCUUGCUUCUCUGAUGUUAGCGGCGGACGGGUGAGUAACACGUGGAUAACCUACCUAUAAGACUGGGAUAACUUCGGGAAACCGGAGCUAAUACCGGAUGAUAUUUUGAACCGCAUGGUUCAAAAGUGAAAGACGGUCUUGCUGUCACUUAUAGAUGGAUCCGCGCUGCAUUAGCUAGUUGGUAAGGUAACGGCUUACCAAGGCAACGAUGCAUAGCCGACCUGAGAGGGUGAUCGGCCACACUGGAACUGAGACACGGUCCAGACUCCUACGGGAGGCAGCAGUAGGGAAUCUUCCGCAAUGGGCGAAAGCCUGACGGAGCAACGCCGCGUGAGUGAUGAAGGUCUUCGGAUCGUAAAACUCUGUUAUUAGGGAAGAACAUAUGUGUAAGUAACUGUGCACAUCUUGACGGUACCUAAUCAGAAAGCCACGGCUAACUACGUGCCAGCAGCCGCGGUAAUACGUAGGUGGCAAGCGUUAUCCGGAAUUAUUGGGCGUAAAGCGCGCGUAGGCGGUUUUUUAAGUCUGAUGUGAAAGCCCACGGCUCAACCGUGGAGGGUCAUUGGAAACUGGAAAACUUGAGUGCAGAAGAGGAAAGUGGAAUUCCAUGUGUAGCGGUGAAAUGCGCAGAGAUAUGGAGGAACACCAGUGGCGAAGGCGACUUUCUGGUCUGUAACUGACGCUGAUGUGCGAAAGCGUGGGGAUCAAACAGGAUUAGAUACCCUGGUAGUCCACGCCGUAAACGAUGAGUGCUAAGUGUUAGGGGGUUUCCGCCCCUUAGUGCUGCAGCUAACGCAUUAAGCACUCCGCCUGGGGAGUACGACCGCAAGGUUGAAACUCAAAGGAAUUGACGGGGACCCGCACAAGCGGUGGAGCAUGUGGUUUAAUUCGAAGCAACGCGAAGAACCUUACCAAAUCUUGACAUCCUUUGACAACUCUAGAGAUAGAGCCUUCCCCUUCGGGGGGGACAAAGUGACAGGUGGUGCAUGGUUGUCGUCAGCUCGUGUCGUGAGAUGUUGGGUUAAGUCCCGCAACGAGCGCAACCCUUAAGCUUAGUUGCCAUCAUUAAGUUGGGCACUCUAAGUUGACUGCCGGUGACAAACCGGAGGAAGGUGGGGAUGACGUCAAAUCAUCAUGCCCCUUAUGAUUUGGGCUACACACGUGCUACAAUGGACAAUACAAAGGGCAGCGAAACCGCGAGGUCAAGCAAAUCCCAUAAAGUUGUUCUCAGUUCGGAUUGUAGUCUGCAACUCGACUACAUGAAGCUGGAAUCGCUAGUAAUCGUAGAUCAGCAUGCUACGGUGAAUACGUUCCCGGGUCU
This 1370-nucleotide ribosomal RNA is filed under the name uncultured bacterium. RNAcentral describes it as "bacterial SSU rRNA". It matches the Rfam family "Bacterial small subunit ribosomal RNA", at positions 32 to 1381 of the family's 1533-position model. The record is from RNAcentral.